RNAcentral lists this ribosomal RNA (253 nucleotides) under uncultured bacterium. RNAcentral describes it as "partial 16S ribosomal RNA". It matches the Rfam family "Bacterial small subunit ribosomal RNA", at positions 524 to 776 of the family's 1533-position model. The record is from RNAcentral.
UACGAAGGGGGCUAGCGUUGCUCGGAAUUACUGGGCGUAAAGGGAGCGUAGGCGGAUAGUUUAGUCAGAGGUGAAAGCCCAGGGCUCAACCUUGGAAUUGCCUUUGAUACUGGCUAUCUUGAGUAUGGAAGAGGUAUGUGGAACUCCGAGUGUAGAGGUGAAAUUCGUAGAUAUUCGGAAGAACACCAGUGGCGAAGGCGACGUACUGGUCCAUUACUGACGCUGAGGCUCGAAAGCGUGGGGAGCAAACAGG